CGCUCCGUAUCUGACGCGCGCACGUGCGUCAACGCUAGCGCUUUUAUCGAAAUCGGUCGAAAAUAAUAAUGGCAGAAACUCAUCAACUGAAAAUAUCUACAACGAAUUUUACCUUCUUGUGAGCGUUGCUAUUGCCUCGUUAUAGGUUGAUGGCUGAUGCACAGUCUUUCAGCCGGUUAGAGGAGGAAUGCGAUGACAGUGCGAGCAGCAGGCCUGAUCGGCCCCGCCCCACCGUGCCGACGAGACCCAUCACCCAGGGCGAUUCACAGGCCGGUAUUAGACUCCCGCACUGGCACUGCGUACCAAGAAUACCGCUCGGACGAAAACGGGGCUAUCAUGCCUUGACUGUCUCCAAUGUCGACAUCGUGACCUAUGCAGCAGUGCGGCAAGUGGGACCGGGCGGAGAAACGGUCAUCGUCUAAAUCUGAUUGGCAGAGAUAUCAAACAUCUAAAAACAUGAACUAUUAGUUAAAGCAA
Molecule: long non-coding RNA, 477 nt
Organism: Patiria miniata (bat star)
Lineage: Eukaryota; Metazoa; Echinodermata; Asteroidea; Valvatida; Asterinidae
Exons: 3
Source: RefSeq, a predicted model, not a curated record